GAAUGGAGUUUCAAAAAAAGUCUAUCUUGAAUUCAAAAAUUGAAUUUAUUUUUAUUUGUGAAGAAACAAUAAUUAAAAUUAAGGACAAGAAGACCCUAAGAAUUUUUAAUUUUGUAUAUAUAUAUAUUUAUAUAUACAAAAUUUUAAUUGGGGCGAUUAAAAAAUAUAGUUAACUUUUAAUUUUAAAAAAUGAUCCAUUAUUAGUGAUUUAAUGUAAAAAAUACUCUAGGGAUAACAGCGUAAUAAUUUUAGAUAGAUCUUAUAGAAAAAAUAGUUUGCGACCUCGAUGUUGGAUUAGGAUUCUUUUUUAAUGAAGAAGUUAAAAUAAG
RNAcentral lists this ribosomal RNA (329 nucleotides) under Haemaphysalis flava. RNAcentral describes it as "partial large subunit ribosomal RNA". Lineage: Eukaryota; Metazoa; Arthropoda; Arachnida; Ixodida; Ixodidae. The record is from RNAcentral.